AAGUCGUAACAAGGUAACCGUAGGUGAACCUGCGGUUGGAUCAUUAAUGAUUUAUAAUAUAUCUGGCUUUUUCUUUUUUUUCCUAUUCGAACCUCGGAUAGGGAGACUAAGAAAUUGCCCAGUUAUCAACACCCUUGUGAACGUUUACCGUAUUUUUCUUUGGCAGCCCUCCAAUUUGUUUGGGCUGUCCAAAGUAAAACCAAAUUUUAAAAACUUUUUAUAUUUUUUGAGUCUUUUUUAUUUUUAAAAUAAAAAACAACUUUUGACAACGGAUCUCUUGGCUCUC
This 286-nucleotide unclassified non-coding RNA is filed under the name fungal sp. Its description in RNAcentral is "partial internal transcribed spacer region". The stretch from base 1 to 46 matches the Rfam family "Eukaryotic small subunit ribosomal RNA", at positions 1786 to 1831 of the family's 1831-position model. The record is from RNAcentral. Lineage: Eukaryota; Fungi.